ACGUAGCUCAGUUGGUUAGAGCACAUCACUCAUAAUGAUGGGGUCACAGGUUCGAAUCCCGUCGU
RNAcentral lists this transfer RNA (65 nucleotides) under Escherichia coli. Its description in RNAcentral is "tRNA-Met". It matches the Rfam family "tRNA", at positions 5 to 66 of the family's 71-position model. Rfam says of the family: Transfer RNA (tRNA) molecules are approximately 80 nucleotides in length. The record is from RNAcentral. RNAcentral also lists the same sequence under 6 other names. Lineage: Bacteria; Pseudomonadati; Pseudomonadota; Gammaproteobacteria; Enterobacterales; Enterobacteriaceae.